Molecule: long non-coding RNA, 521 nt
Organism: Prionailurus viverrinus (fishing cat)
Lineage: Eukaryota; Metazoa; Chordata; Mammalia; Carnivora; Felidae
Exons: 3
Source: RefSeq, a predicted model, not a curated record
AGGACACUGGAUGCUUUCAACAUAAUCACAUAGAAAAGGAGCUUUCAUUCUCUGUUUACUGAGAAGAUUAGAAACAGUGGUGUACAUUUACCAUCAUGGCAAACGAAGGAUGCCGAAGAAUAAAUCUCUCCCCCCACCCCCCACUGCCAAGUGACUUUUUCAUUUUCUACUCUGACCUAUAAUUCUACCAUUCCUGGCUUAUUUUUAUGUUUCAGGCGUAUCUGACUUUCAGGCAUACUGUAUAAAUCAAGGUUAAAAUGUUAACACAAGUGCAAUAUGAGAGAACAUAUUCAAGGACAUAUGCUUGAGAAGAACAUGAGAGGAAAAACUACCAAGGAAUAAAGGGAAUCUAAUAAAUUUGGCAGAACCUUCAGAAUGAUGCUCCAUGGCUGAGAAGGAUGCUUGAGAACAACUGUUACCCUCUGGGUAGCUGGGGACAUGAUCUCUUCUUCCCGUGCUGAGUGUUAACCUCCUGGUACACCUAAUAAGCAGGUUUAUGACAGCAUACUGCAUUUCCUACA